This 254-nucleotide ribosomal RNA is filed under the name uncultured bacterium. RNAcentral's name for it is "partial 16S ribosomal RNA". It matches the Rfam family "Bacterial small subunit ribosomal RNA", at positions 524 to 776 of the family's 1533-position model. The record is from RNAcentral.
UACGAGGGGGGCAAAUGUUGUUCGGAAUUACUGGGCGUAAAGCGCGUGUAGGCGGGCAUGCAAGUCGAGUGUGAAAUCCCUGGGCUCAACCCAGGAACUGCAUUCGAAACUGCAUGUCUAGAGUGUCGGAGAGGGAAGCGGAAUUCCUGGUGUAGAGGUGAAAUUCGUAGAUAUCAGGAGGAACACCGGUGGCGAAGGCGGCUUCCUGGACGAUUACUGGACGCUGAGACGCGAAAGCGUGGGGAGCAAACAGG